Molecule: long non-coding RNA, 1227 nt
Organism: Brassica napus (rape)
Lineage: Eukaryota; Viridiplantae; Streptophyta; Magnoliopsida; Brassicales; Brassicaceae
Exons: 2
Source: RefSeq, a predicted model, not a curated record
UCUUCAUGGUGUUAGAGCUGCAGUCGAUCUGUGGACUCAAAAAAAAAAAAAAAAAAAUCUUGUCAUCUGCUUCAUGCUUCAUGCUUCAUGCUUCAUGCUUCAUGCUUCCUUCUUCCUUCAAACAGACAAUGGUCACCCACGCAGUUUUAAGCUUCCGACAAACAGAUCCAGAUAAGAAGAAAAGUUUCUUCCUUUCUCAAGUGCUCGUGUCUUCAUUCUUCUCAAGCAUUGGCGGCGCUCCAGGAGUAACAGCCGACCAGAAGAAGACCGUCGCGAGCACGCUGCCAGCAAGCUUUUAUGUCUCUUCAACAACAUUGCUCUUCUGUAGAUGUGAUACUCCAAGGUGCUUUGCUGGGACGAGUUCAUAACGGACCAGAAAGAAAGAGGAAUCUUCCUGAAGAUUCAGAUUCCACACCAUUUAUCCACGGUAUCAUCUAUGUUUCUCUCUUUCGAGACAGAGAAGAGGAUGAAAAAAAAAAAUGUUGUGUCUUGGAUUGUCUUGCUGGCUGGUUUAGAUUUUUUGGUAUGGAACGUGAAGUUAGAUGAGUAGGCUGCGGUUAGUUAUAACAAUGGGUUUAUGGAAGCAAGUCUGGUUUUGUAAAAGCACACAAAGUGCUCGUUGAAAUGUCAACGUGAAAGGCAGGUUGUUUAGAAGCACAACUUUGGUGGUACAUAGAUGGAACGCAGAGAUUGAGUAGAGCUUUGUUUAGUAGGUGUGGAAACAGUUUUUCAUUAGACAUAUUAGAAGAAUGAAAUAGGUAAUGGAAACCUAUAUUCAUAGUGAGAUAAAGAGGUCACAAUUAUACCUCUGAGUGAGAUCAACUAAGCUCUCCAAGUUCAAAAGAAACCUCUGAGUGAAGCCAUGUGAUACUCUCCAAAUAUAGGCCUGAAUAGAUCUCACACUAAUGUUUGUCUACAAUGGUGAAUAGAGCCAUUUACCAACACUACAAGCAUAAUGCUUCAACUCUUCAUGUCUCCUUCAAAGCCAUCUUCAGGUGCAUUCAAACUUGUCAGCUUUGUGUUCACCCGCUGCCAAGUUUGCGGGGGGAGUAUUGAAGCCCACAUGAGAAGCCCAGUUUCUGAUCCAAUAAGAAGUCUUAGUGAACCAUGUAACUAAGGUUUAUAAGUCUAUAUAUAUGUCGUUAGUGUCCUCAUCAAUGUAACCUUGGUUGCCAUAGUUGCAGCCACUUUAAACUCCUUUUAUAAUAUCAAUCAUUAUACUUAGCU